CCUAGACGACGCUGGCGGCGUGCCUAAUACAUGCAAGUCGAGCGAAUGAUGAAGAAGCUUGCUUCUUCUGAUUUAGCGGCGGACGGGUGAGUAACACGUGGGCAACCUACCUAGUAGAUUGGGAUAACUCCGGGAAACCGGGGCUAAUACCGAAUAAUCCAUUUUGUCACAUGGCAAAAUGCUGAAAGGCGGUUUCGGCUGUCACUACUAGAUGGGCCCGCGGUGCAUUAGCUAGUUGGUGGGGUAAUGGCCUACCAAGGCAACGAUGCAUAGCCGACCUGAGAGGGUGAUCGGCCACAUUGGGACUGAGACACGGCCCAAACUCCUACGGGAGGCAGCAGUAGGGAAUCUUCCACAAUGGACGAAAGUCUGAUGGAGCAACGCCGCGUGAGUGAUGAAGGUUUUCGGAUCGUAAAACUCUGUUGUAAGGGAAGAACAAGUACGUUAGUAACUGAACGUACCUUGACGGUACCUUAUUAGAAAGCCACGGCUAACUACGUGCCAGCAGCCGCGGUAAUACGUAGGUGGCAAGCGUUGUCCGGAUUUAUUGGGCGUAAAGCGCGCGCAGGUGGUUUCUUAAGUCUGAUGUGAAAGCCCACGGCUCAACCGUGGAGGGUCAUUGGAAACUGGGAGACUUGAGUGCAGAAGAGGAAAGUGGAAUUCCAAGUGUAGCGGUGAAAUGCGUAGAGAUUUGGAGGAACACCAGUGGCGAAGGCGACUUUCUGGUCUGUAACUGACACUGAGGCGCGAAAGCGUGGGGAGCAAACAGGAUUAGAUACCCUGGUAGUCCACGCCGUAAACGAUGAGUGCUAAGUGUUAGGGGGUUUCCGCCCCUUAGUGCUGCAGCUAACGCAUUAAGCACUCCGCC
Molecule: ribosomal RNA, 868 nt
Filed under: Viridibacillus sp.
Lineage: Bacteria; Bacillati; Bacillota; Bacilli; Caryophanales; Caryophanaceae
Description: bacterial SSU rRNA
Rfam family: Bacterial small subunit ribosomal RNA
Source: RNAcentral